GACGAACGCUGGCGGCGUGCUUAACACAUGCAAGUCGAACGGAAAGGCCCUGCUUGCAGGGUCCUCGAGUGGCGAACGGGUGAGUAACACGUGGGUGAUCUGCCCUGCACUUCGGGAUAAGCCUGGGAAACUGGGUCUAAUACCGGAUAGGAGCCAUUUUUAUUGUGAUGGUUGGAAAGUUUUUUCGGUGUAGGAUGAGCUCGCGGCCUAUCAGCUUGUUGGUGGGGUAAUGGCCUACCAAGGCGGCGACGGGUAGCCGGCCGGAGAGGGUGGACGGCGACAUUGGGACUGAGAGACGGCACAGACGCCGAAGGGAGGCAGCAGUGGGGAAUAUUGAACAAUGGGCGCAAGCCGGAUGCAGAGACGCCGCGUGGGGGAUGACGGCCUUCGGGUUGAAAACUCCAUUAGAUAGGGACGAAGCUUUUUGUGACGGUACCUAGAGAAGAAGCACCGGCUAACUACGUG
RNAcentral lists this ribosomal RNA (465 nucleotides) under uncultured bacterium. Its description in RNAcentral is "partial 16S ribosomal RNA". It matches the Rfam family "Bacterial small subunit ribosomal RNA", at positions 28 to 507 of the family's 1533-position model. The record is from RNAcentral.